CAGCAGCCGCGGGAAUACGAAGGGUGCAAGCGUUACUCGGAAUUACUGGGCGUAAAGCGUGCGUAGGUGGUGGUUUAAGUCCGUUGUGAAAGCCCUGGGCUCAACCUGGGAAUUGCAGUGGAUACUGGGUCACUAGAGUGUGGUAGAGGAUGGUGGAAUUUCCGGUGUAGCAGUGAAAUGCGUAGAGAUCGGAAGGAACAUCUGUGGCGAAGGCGACUAUCUGGGCCAACACUGACACUGAGGCACGAAAGCGUGGGGAGCAAACAGGAUUAGAUACCCCAGUAGUCCCUGUCUCUUAUAC
Molecule: ribosomal RNA, 301 nt
Filed under: uncultured bacterium
Lineage: Bacteria
Description: partial 16S ribosomal RNA
Rfam family: Bacterial small subunit ribosomal RNA
Source: RNAcentral